AAUUCCGGUGAAGAUGCCGGAUACCUGCGACAGGACGGAAAGACCCCAUGGAGCUUUACUGUAGCUUGACAUUGGGUCUUGGUACUACAUGUACAGGAUAGGUGGGAGGCUUUGAAACCAGGACGCCAGUUUUGGCGGAGCCAUCCUUGGGAUACCACCCUUGUAGUACUGGGACUCUAACCAUAGGCCAUGAAUCUGGUCUUGGGACACUGUCAGGUGGGCAGGUUGACUGGGGCGGUCGCCUCCCAAAAGGUAACGGAGGCGCUCAAAGGUUCUCUCAGUACGGUCGGAAAUCGUACGUAGAGUGUAAAGGCAAAAGAGAGC
Molecule: ribosomal RNA, 324 nt
Filed under: Clostridioides difficile
Lineage: Bacteria; Bacillati; Bacillota; Clostridia; Peptostreptococcales; Peptostreptococcaceae
Description: bacterial LSU rRNA
Rfam family: Bacterial large subunit ribosomal RNA
Source: RNAcentral